RNAcentral lists this ribosomal RNA (903 nucleotides) under uncultured bacterium. RNAcentral's name for it is "bacterial SSU rRNA". It matches the Rfam family "Bacterial small subunit ribosomal RNA", at positions 495 to 1397 of the family's 1533-position model. The record is from RNAcentral.
GGCUAACUACGUGCCAGCAGCCGCGGUGAUACGUAGGGUGCGAGCGUUGUCCGGAUUUAUUGGGCGUAAAGAGCUUGUAGGCGGUUGGUUGCGUCGAAAGUGCAAACUCAGGGCUUAACCCUGAGCCUGCUUUCGAUACGGGCUGACUGGAGGAAGGUAGGGGAGAAUGGAAUUCCCGGUGGAGCGGUGGAAUGCGCAGAUAUCGGGAGGAACACCAGUGGCGAAGGCGGUUCUCUGGACCUUUCCUGACGCUGAGAAGCGAAAGCGUGGGGAGCAAACAGGCUUAGAUACCCUGGUAGUCCACGCUGUAAACGGUGGGUACUAGGUGUGGGGGACAUUCCACGUUCUCUGUGCCGUAGCUAACGCAUUAAGUACCCCGCCUGGGGAGUACGGCCGCAAGGCUAAAACUCAAAGGAAUUGACGGGGCCCCGCACAAGCGGCGGAGCAUGCGGAUUAAUUCGAUGCAACGCGAAGAACCUUACCUGGGUUUGACAUAUAUCGGAAACGUUCAGAGAUGGGCGCCCCGUAAGGUCGGUAUACAGGUGGUGCAUGGCUGUCGUCAGCUCGUGUCGUGAGAUGUUGGGUUAAGUCCCGCAACGAGCGCAACCCUCGUCCAAUGUUGCCAGCGGGUUAUGCCGGGGACUCAUUGGAGACCGCCGGGGUCAACUCGGAGGAAGGUGGGGAUGACGUCAAGUCAUCAUGCCCCUUAUGUCCAGGGCUUCACGCAUGCUACAAUGGCCGGUACAAAGAGUUGCGAGCCUGUGAGGGUGAGCGAAUCUCAAAAAGCCGGUCUCAGUUCGGAUUGGGGUCUGCAACUCGACCCCAUGAAGUCGGAGUCGCUAGUAAUCGCAGAUCAGCAACGCUGCGGUGAAUACGUUCCCGGGGCUUGUACACACCGCCCGU